Molecule: long non-coding RNA, 486 nt
Organism: Pangasianodon hypophthalmus (striped catfish)
Lineage: Eukaryota; Metazoa; Chordata; Actinopteri; Siluriformes; Pangasiidae
Exons: 2
Source: RefSeq, a predicted model, not a curated record
CGGCACCGCGAGACGCACACUGACACCCGACACCUACUCCAGUGGCCUCCUCCGCCUUUAGCACUCAUACUAACAUCACACUAGUGUUCUAAACAGUAUGGUCAAACAGUCCACUAGUAAGCCUACAACUCCAGUAAGGGUCACAGGAAGCCUGGAGCCUAUCCCAGGGGACUCGGGGCGCAAGGCGAGGGACACCAUGGAAGGGGGGCCAAUCCAUCAGAGGGCACAAUCACACACACAUUCACAUACUAUGAACAAUUUAGAGAUGCCUGUCAGGCUACCACACAUGUGUUUGGACUGGGGAGGAAACAAGAGUACCCUGAAGAAACCCCCGAAGCAUGGAGAGAACAUGCAAAUGCCACAUACACAGGGUGGAGGCAGGAAUCAAACCCCCGCCCCCAGAGGUGGAAGGCAAAUGUUGUAACCACUAAGCCACCAUGCUCCCCAUUCAGGCUAAUGACUAUUAAAAUGGAUUGAUGUUUUCUA